GCUCAACCGAGGAAGUGCUUCGAAAACUGGUAAACUUGAGUGCAGAAGAGGAAAGUGGAACUCCAUGUGUAGCGGUGGAAUGCGUAGAUAUAUGGAAGAACACCAGUGGCGAAGGCGGCUUUCUGGUCUGUAACUGACGCUGAGAUUCGAAAGCAUGGGUAGCAAACAGGAUUAGAUACCCUGGUAGUCCAUGCCGUAAACGAUGAGUGCUAAGUGUUGGAGGGUUUCCGCCCUUCAGUGCUGCAGCUAACGCAUUAAGCACUCCGCCUGGGGAGUACGACCGCAAGGUUGAAACUCAAAGGAAUUGACGGGGGCCCGCACAAGCGGUGGAGCAUGUGGUUUAAUUCGAAGCAACGCGAAGAACCUUACCAGGUCUUGACAUACCAUGAAAAGCUUAGAGAUAAGUCUUUCCCUUCGGGGACAUGGAUACAGGUGGUGCAUGGUUGUCGUCAGCUCGUGUCGUGAGAUGUUGGGUUAAGUCCCGCAA
RNAcentral lists this ribosomal RNA (487 nucleotides) under uncultured bacterium. Its description in RNAcentral is "bacterial SSU rRNA". It matches the Rfam family "Bacterial small subunit ribosomal RNA", at positions 607 to 1092 of the family's 1533-position model. The record is from RNAcentral.